Long non-coding RNA from Juglans microcarpa x Juglans regia, 480 nucleotides. RefSeq lists it as uncharacterized. The transcript has 3 exons. NCBI's taxonomy places the organism in Eukaryota, Viridiplantae, Streptophyta, Magnoliopsida, Fagales, Juglandaceae. The record is from RefSeq and is a predicted model, not a curated record.
GAAGAGAAAUCUCUCAAGCCCUCACCCGUGCGCCUACCUCCCAUUCUCUCCCAUUCCAUUCUUCUUCCAAUCUCAAGUCAAGCAUCCAUUUUUCUUUCUUCUCAAGAAAAAAAUAGCAAGUUUUGGACUUCCAGCCAAGGGGUUCGUGUGCCCUCUAUUUCCCUAAGCUGAACCUACCUUUUCCCUUCUCCAUUUUCAUGUUUUGGGAAGGAUUCACCAAAGGUAUUGAUGAAGAGGUUGUGGAGCCGGGCACUACCGAGGAGGAAGGGGCCGAUGCUUAGUGGUCCCCUGUCGGUUUGACCCUUUUGAUGAUAAUGGUUUAUGCUUUUUAUGUUUUAGGAUGGGUCCUGUGUUGGGAUGUUUUGUUGAAUUAACUUGAAGACAAUGUAUCUUUUGGGUAUGAUAUAAUUUUUAUGGUGGGGCGAUUGUAACUGUGUAACUUCUAUGGUUGGGUGAUGGUAAUCCCCCCAUACGUUGACU